GCAGCCACUCAUUCAAAGAGUGCGUAAUAGCUCACUGGUCGAGUGAUCCUGCGCCGAAGAUUUCCGGGGCUAAAACUUACUACCGAAGCUACGGCAUCAGUAAUGAUGGGUAGGGGAGCUUCCCAUACGGGUUGAAGCAUGACCGUAAGGACAUGGGGACAGUAUGGGAGUGAGAAUGUUGGCAUGAGUAGCGAGAUGUGGGUGAGAAUCCCACAGGCCGUAAACCCAAGGUUUCCAGGGGAAGGUUCGUCCGCCCUGGGGUAGUCGGGACCUAAGCUGAGGC
Molecule: ribosomal RNA, 283 nt
Filed under: Clostridioides difficile
Lineage: Bacteria; Bacillati; Bacillota; Clostridia; Peptostreptococcales; Peptostreptococcaceae
Description: partial 23S ribosomal RNA
Rfam family: Bacterial large subunit ribosomal RNA
Source: RNAcentral